RNAcentral lists this ribosomal RNA (721 nucleotides) under uncultured Halorubrum sp. Its description in RNAcentral is "bacterial SSU rRNA". It matches the Rfam family "Archaeal small subunit ribosomal RNA", at positions 85 to 805 of the family's 1478-position model. The record is from RNAcentral. Lineage: Archaea; Methanobacteriati; Methanobacteriota; Halobacteria; Halobacteriales; Haloferacaceae.
ACGGCUCAGUAACACGUGGCCAAUCUACCCUUCGGAGAGCGAUACCCUCGGGAAACUGAGGUUAAUAGCCCAUAACACACUUCAGCUGGAAUGAGAGGUGUGUCAAACGCUCCGGCGCCGAAGGAUGAGGCUGCGGCCGAUUAGGUAGACGGUGGGGUAACGGCCCACCGUGCCGAUAAUCGGUACGGGUCAUGAGAGUGAGAACCCGGAGACGGAAUCUGAGACAAGAUUCCGGGCCCUACGGGGCGCAGCAGGCGCGAAACCUUUACACUGCACGCCAGUGCGAUAAGGGGAUCCCAAGUGCGUAGGCAUAGAGCCUACGCUUUUGUGAACCGUAGGGAGGUUCACGAAUAAGGGCUGGGCAAGACCGGUGCCAGCCGCCGCGGUAAUACCGGCAGCCCGAGUGAUGGCCGAUUUUAUUGGGCCUAAAGCGUCCGUAGCUGGCCGCGUGUGUCCAUCGGGAAAUCUCUCCGCUCAACGGAGAGGCGUCCGGUGGAAACUGCGUGGCUUGGGACCGGAAGGCGCGACGGGUACGUCCGGGGUAGGAGUGAAAUCCUGUAAUCCUGGACGGACCACCGAUGGCGAAAGCACGUCGCGAGGACGGAUCCGACAGUGAGGGACGAAAGCUAGGGUCUCGAACCGGAUUAGAUACCCGGGUAGUCCUAGCCGUAAACGAUGCCUGUUAGGUGUGGCUCCCACUACGAGUGGGUGCUGUGCCGUA